AUUGAACGCUGGCGGAAUGCUUUACACAUGCAAGUCGAACGGCAGCACGGACUUCGGUCUGGUGGCGAGUGGCGAACGGGUGAGUUAUGUAUCGGAACGUGCCCAGUCGUGGGGGAUAACGUAGUGAAAAUUACGCUAAUACCGCAUACGAUCUAUGGAUGAAAGCAGGGGAUCGCAAGACCUCGCGCGAUUGGAGCGGCCGAUAUCAGAUUAGGUAGUUGGUGGGGUAAAGGCCCACCAAGCCAACGAUCUGUAGCUGGUCUGAGAGGACGACCAGCCACACUGGAACUGAGACACGGUCCAGACUCCUACGGGAGGCAGCAGUGGGGAAUUUUGGACGAUGGGCGAAAGCCUGAUCCAGCCAUUCCGCGUGCAGGAUGAAGGCCCUCGGGUUGUAAACUGCUUUUGUACAGAACGAAAAGGUUUCUACUAAUACUAGGAGCUCAUGACGGUACUGUAAGAAUAAGCACCGGCUAACUACGUGCCAGCCGCCGCCGUAA
Molecule: ribosomal RNA, 500 nt
Filed under: uncultured bacterium
Lineage: Bacteria
Description: partial 16S ribosomal RNA
Rfam family: Bacterial small subunit ribosomal RNA
Source: RNAcentral